CUCUGCCUCACACAUUAUGCUGUGGGCGAGGGGUCGUGUUCCUGGAAAACAAAAAUCCCUCCACUUAAAGUCUGUGUGGGCACCUCCCCGCAUACAUCAAGGCAGCACAAUAAGAAGGGGAGAAUGGCGUGAGAGCAGGUCCCGGUGAGGGUAAGAGCUGGCGGCAUAUCCAGGCAACGCGCCCUUCCCAGUGGCCGGUGCUCUUCCCCAAGUGCUGCUGCCACAACACUAGCCCUGUGGGCCAACGUCACCAGUGCCUCACCCCAGCCGACGCCCUUGCAGACCCCUCUCCCAUCAGCACUGGUGCCCGGAUACCUCUCUGUGCUGGGGCUGUCCUGUGCCCUGAGGGAUGCGUCACAGCAUCCCAGUUGUGACUUGACUCAAGGCCUGGACUAGAGCACACGCCCAAGAGGUGGUGUUUAUGGUUGAAAGAACAUGGGCAACAGGAAUCAGAUACGUGAGAAUGUUCUUUGAU
Long non-coding RNA from Hyaena hyaena (striped hyena), 475 nucleotides. RefSeq lists it as uncharacterized. The transcript is spliced from 3 exons. The record is from RefSeq and is a predicted model, not a curated record. NCBI's taxonomy places the organism in Eukaryota, Metazoa, Chordata, Mammalia, Carnivora, Hyaenidae.